RNAcentral lists this transfer RNA (77 nucleotides) under Elioraea tepida. Its description in RNAcentral is "Elioraea sp. MS-P2 tRNA-Arg". It matches the Rfam family "tRNA". From Rfam's summary of the family: Transfer RNA (tRNA) molecules are approximately 80 nucleotides in length. Their secondary structure includes four short double-helical elements and three loops (D, anti-codon, and T loops). Lineage: Bacteria; Pseudomonadati; Pseudomonadota; Alphaproteobacteria; Acetobacterales; Elioraeaceae. The record is from RNAcentral.
GGCCCCGUAGCUCAACCGGAUAGAGCACCUGCCUUCUAAGCAGGGUGUUGCGUGUUCGAGUCACGCCGGGGUCGCCA